GUUGGCGACUUUAUUCAAAGCCUGAGAGACUGCUGGGUCUCCUUUGAAAUGCAUGCUCACUUGCAACAUGCUUUGAACAAGAUUACUAUUGGAUCAAACAUACACAAAAAAAUUAAAAAUCAGCCAGAGAAUAAUCUAGGAAAAUUAGUGACAGUCAUCUCAAACAUACAACAAGAGCCUUCUUACUUUUUCAAGUUUCCCUUCCAGGUCAUCGAGAUUGGCAUGGUUUUCUUCCAGAACAUCCCUGAUAGUAGGAAAGUAAAAGCCACAAUAGAAUUGUUUCAAAAUAAUUUGUACAAUAAAAUUUGAAGUACCUAAA
This is a long non-coding RNA of Daphnia magna, 319 nucleotides long. RefSeq lists it as uncharacterized. Lineage: Eukaryota; Metazoa; Arthropoda; Branchiopoda; Diplostraca; Daphniidae. The record is from RefSeq and is a predicted model, not a curated record. The transcript has 2 exons.